AAACAGCACAGUACGUUUUGAGUACGUACAAUUUUGGUACUGUACGUACAUGAUGUAAAAUGUACGUUUUAAGUACGUACACUGGGGUACAUACCAGUACGUACAGAAGAGUACGUACUAAGUACGUACUAUCACGUCCAAGUAUGUACCAUGAGAAAGAAGAGCUAAGGCAUAUUUAUUAUGUCAGGUUAUGUUAACCUAACCUAAUUUAUUUGGUUAGGAACAGGAACUUUCCUUCCACCUCGAGUACAGUUUUGAUGUGAUAAUUCAUUGCAAGACAGUUUCAUUUAGAUUUUUUUUACUUAUUUUUGGUGUUGGAGCUUAGUGUGGUUUCCUGUUAUCUUAAGAUUAUUGAGAAGCUGCAAUAAAAAGUCAAAAAUGUAGUGAUAAGAAGGUGGCGGAGCAAGAAAUUGGACGAUGGUUGAGGAGAGCCGGGGAUCGCUUAAAAACUUUCAAGGAAAAGGAAUCAGAAUAAAAAUUGAAUUUAUUUAUUUUUUAAAUAAUAAAGAUAUAUUCAGCUA
This 521-nucleotide long non-coding RNA is filed under the name Diabrotica virgifera virgifera (western corn rootworm). Its description in RNAcentral is "uncharacterized LOC126886398". Lineage: Eukaryota; Metazoa; Arthropoda; Insecta; Coleoptera; Chrysomelidae. The record is from RNAcentral.